AGACUGUUGUAUGUGGUCUAUUUAUGUCAAUUGCCUGUGGGUCAAUCCAUGUUCCCAUGUUACCUCUUUAGUUUCAUGGAUAUCUUGUAUUUGCCCUGAGUUUUUUUUUUCCUUAAAAUAGCUUUUACUGGUGGUUGACUUGAUUUCCACGGUUAGAUGAUCACCUUUGUUUUUUACACAGGUUAGAGCAUACUUACAGCAUCAAUGGAAGCAGAUUCUAUCUGGAAGGGUGUCUCUUCAGGAUUUUGUAUCUGCAAAGGAGGUUCGCCUAGGCACCUACCGUAACUAGCUCUGUUCUUGUUUUGGCAGGAUAAACAAACAAUGUUAUUGUUAAUGGGAAAUAGCAGCAGCCCAUCAUUAGCGAAGAUUCAAAGGAAGCUAUGAAGCAUGCAUUCGAACUCUUUAAUGUUCGAUUGGAAGUAGACUUUGGGACUAGUGAUAUAGGACAUAGCUUAGGAUUGUAAUGAAUAUUUGUAAUUUAUUACAUUUGUCUUUUGUUAAUGAUGAUAUAUACUAUUCUUCGAACAACAAUUUUUCAA
Molecule: long non-coding RNA, 539 nt
Organism: Prunus dulcis (almond)
Lineage: Eukaryota; Viridiplantae; Streptophyta; Magnoliopsida; Rosales; Rosaceae
Exons: 2
Source: RefSeq, a predicted model, not a curated record